UACCUAUCGUUGCCUCGGCGGGAUCGCCCCGGCGCCUCUGCUGCCCGGAACCAGGCGCCCGCCGGAGGACCCUAAACUCUGUAUUCUGUGUGAUACUCUGAGUGGCACAAGCAAAAAUGAAUCAAAACUUUCAACAACGGAUCUCUUGGUUCUGGCAUCGAUGAAGAACGCAGCGAAAUGCGAUAAGUAAUGUGAAUUGCAGAAUUCAGUGAAUCAUCGAAUCUUUGAACGCACAUUGCGCCCGCCAGUAUUCUGGCGGGCAUGCCUGUCCGAGCGUCAUUUCAACCCUCGAGCCCCCGGGCUUGGUGUUGGGGAUCGGCCGCACGCCGCUGCGGCCGGCCCCUAAAUGCAGUGGCGGCCCCGCCUCGCCUCCCUUGCGCAGUAGCAAACCUCGCACUGGAGCGCGGCGCGGCCACGCCGUGAAACCCCAUCUCAUCAAGGUUGACCUCGGAUCAGGUAGGAAUACCCGCUGAACUUAAGCAUAUCAAU
RNAcentral lists this ribosomal RNA (489 nucleotides) under Ascomycota sp. OY17007. RNAcentral's name for it is "eukaryotic LSU rRNA". The stretch from base 126 to 279 matches the Rfam family "5.8S ribosomal RNA". Lineage: Eukaryota; Fungi; Ascomycota. The record is from RNAcentral.